AUUGAACGCUGGCGGCAGGCCUAACACAUGCAAGUCGAACGGCAGCACAGAAGAGCUUGCUCUUUGGGUGGCGAGUGGCGGACGGGUGAGUAAUGUCUGGGAAACUGCCCGAUGGAGGGGGAUAACUACUGGAAACGGUAGCUAAUACCGCAUAACGUCGCAAGACCAAAGUGGGGGACCUUCGGGCCUUACACCAUCGGAUGUGCCCAGAUGGGAUUAGCUAGUAGGUGGGGUAAUGGCUCACCUAGGCGACGAUCCCUAGCUGGUCUGAGGGGAUGACCAGGCACACUGGAACUGAGACACGGUCCAGACUCCCACGGGAAGCAGCAGUGGGGAAUAUUGCACAAUGGGCGCAAGCCUGAUGCAGCCAUGCCGCGUGUAUGAAGAAGGCCUUCGGGUUGUAAAGUACUUUCAGCGGGGAGGAAGGCGGUGAGGUUAAUAACCUCGCCGAUUGACGUUACCCGCAGAAGAAGCACCGGCUAACUCCGUGCCAGCAGCCGCAGUAA
RNAcentral lists this ribosomal RNA (506 nucleotides) under uncultured bacterium. Its description in RNAcentral is "partial 16S ribosomal RNA". It matches the Rfam family "Bacterial small subunit ribosomal RNA", at positions 30 to 523 of the family's 1533-position model. The record is from RNAcentral.